Cynocephalus volans (Philippine flying lemur) is the source of this 72-nucleotide small nucleolar RNA. RefSeq annotates it as small nucleolar RNA SNORD113/SNORD114 family. The record is from RefSeq and is a predicted model, not a curated record. Lineage: Eukaryota; Metazoa; Chordata; Mammalia; Dermoptera; Cynocephalidae. The transcript has a single exon.
UGGAUCAAUGAUGACAUCUGGUGGUGUGUGAGUCAUAGAUGAUGAAAACGUGGCUUGAACUCUGAGGUCUGU